AUUGAACGCUGGCGGCAGGCCUAACACAUGCAAGUCGAGCGGAUGAAGGGAGCUUGCUCCUGGAUCCAGCGGCGGACGGGUGAGUAAUGCCUAGGAAUCUGCCUGGUAGUGGGGGAUAAUGUCCGGAAACGGGCGCUAAUACCGCAUACGUCCUGAGGGAGAAAGUGGGGGAUCUUCGGACCUCACGCUAUCAGAUGAGCCUAGGUCGGAUUAGCUAGUUGGUGGGGUAAAGGCCUACCAAGGCGACGAUCCGUAACUGGUCUGAGAGGAUGAUCAGUCACACUGGAACUGAGACACGGUCCAGACUCCUACGGGAGGCAGCAGUGGGGAAUAUUGGACAAUGGGCGAAAGCCUGAUCCAGCCAUGCCGCGUGUGUGAAGAAGGUCUUCGGAUUGUAAAGCACUUUAAGUUGGGAGGAAGGGCAGUAAGUUAAUACCUUGCUGUUUUGACGUUACCAACAGAAUAAGCACCGGCUAACUUCGUG
This 484-nucleotide ribosomal RNA is filed under the name uncultured bacterium. Its description in RNAcentral is "partial 16S ribosomal RNA". It matches the Rfam family "Bacterial small subunit ribosomal RNA", at positions 30 to 507 of the family's 1533-position model. The record is from RNAcentral.